RNAcentral lists this long non-coding RNA (404 nucleotides) under Drosophila guanche. The record is from RNAcentral. Lineage: Eukaryota; Metazoa; Arthropoda; Insecta; Diptera; Drosophilidae.
UCAGCAACAGCCAUAGAGCCUGGCCAGGAUUUAGACGCCUUAGAAAUCGAUUAGUUUGAUUAGAUAUCUGCAUACCAUACAUUAAGUGCUAAGAGAGUCAGCGAUUUUCUAGAUAUCUGUGUGCUGUCUGUAUGCCGCCAAGGGGUCUCAAAGAGUGCAAUAUACGCGAAUUUCUACGGCACCCAUAAAGAUUUUUGUCUAGUUUUUUUCCUCAAAACGUCAAUUGCAAUUAAGCGGGGAGUGCUUUAUGUGUCAUGGGCUUGGCCCUCUUUGAAUGAGCCAUAAAAAUGCCAGAGGUCUGACAAUUUGGCUAAUUGUAAAACAAUUAUUGCAAAAUGGAUCUAUAUCUUAUCGAAUUAUGAGUUCUACGAACUGGGAUAAUUCCAAUUGCGGCGCAAAUAAAG